CAAUGGGGGAACCCUGAUGCAGCGACGCCGCGUGAAGGAUGAAGUAUUUCCGUAUGUAAACUUCUAUCAGCAGGGNAAGAAGAUGACGGUACCUGACUAAGAAGCCCCGGCUAACUACGUGCCAGCAGCCGCGGUAAUACGUAGGGGGCAAGCGUUAUCCGGAUUUACUGGGUGUAAAGGGAGCGUAGACGGCGAUGCAAGCCAGAUGUGAAAGCCCGGGGCUCAACCCCGGGACUGCAUUUGGAACUGCGUGGCUGGAGUGUCGGAGAGGCAGGCGGAAUUCCUAGUGUAGCGGUGAAAUGCGUAGAUAUUAGGAGGAACACCAGUGGCGAAGGCGGCCUGCUGGACGAUGACUGACGUUGAGGCUCGAAAGCGUGGGGAGCAAACAGGAUUAGAUACCCUGGUAGUCCAAGGGCGAAUUC
This 422-nucleotide ribosomal RNA is filed under the name uncultured bacterium. RNAcentral describes it as "SSU rRNA". It matches the Rfam family "Bacterial small subunit ribosomal RNA", at positions 369 to 808 of the family's 1533-position model. The record is from RNAcentral.